GGAGCUGUGGCUCAGUGGCAAAGCAUCUGCUUGGCAUGUGGAAGGUCCCAGGUUCAAUCAUCGGCAUUUCCA
RNAcentral lists this transfer RNA (72 nucleotides) under Sphaerodactylus townsendi. RNAcentral's name for it is "tRNA-Ala". It matches the Rfam family "tRNA". From Rfam's summary of the family: Transfer RNA (tRNA) molecules are approximately 80 nucleotides in length. Their secondary structure includes four short double-helical elements and three loops (D, anti-codon, and T loops). The record is from RNAcentral. Lineage: Eukaryota; Metazoa; Chordata; Lepidosauria; Squamata; Sphaerodactylidae.